CCUACGGGUGACAGCAGUGAGGAAUAUUGGUCAAUGGGCGGGAGCCUGAACCAGCCAAGUCGCGUGAGGGAAGACGGUCCUAUGGAUUGUAAACCUCUUUAGGCGGGGAGCAAUGCCGGGCAUGCGUGCCCGGAGGGAGAGUACCCGCAGAAUAAGCAUCGGCUAACUCCGUGCCAGCAGCCGCGGUAAUACGGAGGAUGCGAGCGUUAUCCGGAUUUAUUGGGUUUAAAGGGUUCGUAGGCGGAUUUUUAAGUCAGCGGUAAAAUGUCCGGGCUCAACCCGGGCCGGCCGUUGAACCUGGGGAGCUUGAGUGGGCGAGAAGUAUGCGGAAUGCGUGGUGUAGCGGUGAAAUGCAUAGAUAUCACGCAGAACUCCGAUUGCGAAGGCAGCAUACCGGCGCCCGACUGACGCUGAGGCACGAAAGCGUGGGGAUCGAACAGGAUUAGAUACCCGAGUAGUC
This 460-nucleotide ribosomal RNA is filed under the name uncultured bacterium. Its description in RNAcentral is "partial 16S ribosomal RNA". It matches the Rfam family "Bacterial small subunit ribosomal RNA", at positions 338 to 795 of the family's 1533-position model. The record is from RNAcentral.